Molecule: transfer RNA, 270 nt
Filed under: Marmota monax (woodchuck)
Lineage: Eukaryota; Metazoa; Chordata; Mammalia; Rodentia; Sciuridae
Description: tRNA.Ala
Source: RNAcentral
GGAGUUGUAGCUCAGUGGUAGAGUGCUUGUCUAGCAUAUGUGAAGCACUGGGUUCAGUCAUCAGCACCACAUAAAAAUGAAUUAAAAAAGGUAUUGCGUCCAUCUACAACUAAAAAUACUGAGACAGGAGAAUCUCAACCUCAAAGCCAUUCUCAGUAAAGUGAGGUGCUAAGUAACUCAGUGAGAUCCUGUCUUUAAAUAAAAUACAAAAUAGGGCUGGGAACAUGGCUCAUUGGUCAAGUUCCCCUGAGUUCAAUCCUCAGUACCCCA